GAUGAGCGCUAGCUACAGGCUUAACACAUGCAAGUCGAGGGGCAGCAUGGGGUUUGCUUGCAAACCCUGAUGGCGACCGGCGCACGGGUGAGUAACGCGUAUCCAACCUUCCCGUCACUCGGGGACAGCCCAGCGAAAGCUGGAUUAACCCCCGAUGUUGUCAUAUGAUAGCAUUAGAGUGUGACGAAAGGCUAACGGUGACGGAUGGGGAUGCGUCUGAUUAGGUAGUAGGCGGGGUAACGGCCCACCUAGCCGACGAUCAGUAGGGGUUCUGAGAGGAAGGUCCCCCACAUUGGAACUGAGACACGGUCCAAACUCCUACGGGAGGCAGCAGUGAGGAAUAUUGGUCAAUGGGCGAGAGCCUGAACCAGCCAAGUAGCGUGCAGGAAGACGGCCCUACGGGUUGUAAACUGCUUUUAUGAAGGAAUAAAGUCACCCACGUGUGGGUGUUUGCAUGUACUUUAUGAAUAAGGACCGGCUAAUUCCGUGCCAGCAGCCGCGGUAAUACGGAAGGUCCGGGCGUUAUCCGGAUUUAUUGGGUUUAAAGGGAGCGUAGGCCGCCUGGUAAGCGUGUUGUGAAAUGUCGUUGCUCAACAACGUCACUGCAGCGCGAACUGCCGGGC
This 623-nucleotide ribosomal RNA is filed under the name uncultured Prevotellaceae bacterium. Its description in RNAcentral is "bacterial SSU rRNA". It matches the Rfam family "Bacterial small subunit ribosomal RNA", at positions 28 to 641 of the family's 1533-position model. Lineage: Bacteria; Pseudomonadati; Bacteroidota; Bacteroidia; Bacteroidales; Prevotellaceae. The record is from RNAcentral.